RNAcentral lists this small RNA (105 nucleotides) under Marmota monax (woodchuck). The record is from RNAcentral. Lineage: Eukaryota; Metazoa; Chordata; Mammalia; Rodentia; Sciuridae.
GCCGGGCACAGUGGCACCUGCCUGUAAUCCCAGUGACUCGGAGGCUGAGGCAGAAAGAUCACAAGUUCAAAGCCAGCCUCAGCAACUUAGUGAGAUCUGUCUCCA